RNAcentral lists this ribosomal RNA (274 nucleotides) under uncultured bacterium. RNAcentral's name for it is "partial 16S ribosomal RNA". It matches the Rfam family "Bacterial small subunit ribosomal RNA", at positions 523 to 796 of the family's 1533-position model. The record is from RNAcentral.
AGACGGGGGGUGCUAGCGUUGUUCGGAAUUACUGGGCGUAAAGGGCGCGUAGGCGGCUCUGCGAGUCGGGCGUGAAAUCCCGGGGCUCAACCCCGGAACGGCGCUCGAUACUGCGGGGCUUGAGACCGGAAGAGGAGGGUGGAAUUCCCAGUGUAGAGGUGAAAUUCGUAGAUAUUGGGAGGAACACCGGUGGCGAAAGCGGCUCUCUGGUCCGGUUCUGACGCUGAGGCGCGAAAGCGUGGGGAGCAAACAGGAUUAGAUACCCUAGUAGUCC